This 267-nucleotide long non-coding RNA is filed under the name Nicotiana benthamiana. RNAcentral's name for it is "long non-coding RNA (NBEN_LNC008699)". Lineage: Eukaryota; Viridiplantae; Streptophyta; Magnoliopsida; Solanales; Solanaceae. The record is from RNAcentral.
GCCUUUUACAAGUGGUCAAAUCCCUUAUUAAAGUAGGGGAGUCCUAGCACUGUUGCAAUUCUAAAUACAGUAAGAAAUCACAUGAUUAGCUACUUAAUCGGCCUCUUCUUGAUACGUGCCGAGAUUUUUGCCUUGAUCCUAGUCGGAUUGCUGAUAUUUCGGCUUUUCAUUAUUUUGGCUCGGAAAGCUUCACUCGAUCUUGCUCAAUCUCUAUCCGGCUUGGCCGAUCUUGGUAUCGAUCGAUCUCUGGUGCAUGAGAUCGGCAAU